GAGCAGGCUCCGGGGGACAGGGAAAAGCACACAAGGAACUUGUCCUCUAGGGCCUGCAGUCU
Molecule: microRNA precursor, 62 nt
Filed under: Homo sapiens (human)
Lineage: Eukaryota; Metazoa; Chordata; Mammalia; Primates; Hominidae
Description: Hsa-Mir-3909_pre stem-loop
Source: RNAcentral